RNAcentral lists this unclassified non-coding RNA (233 nucleotides) under fungal sp. RNAcentral describes it as "partial internal transcribed spacer region". The stretch from base 1 to 46 matches the Rfam family "Eukaryotic small subunit ribosomal RNA", at positions 1786 to 1831 of the family's 1831-position model. Lineage: Eukaryota; Fungi. The record is from RNAcentral.
AAGUCGUAACAAGGUUUCCGUAGGUGAACCUGCGGAAGGAUCAUUACCAAAAAUAUUAAUCCAUCAAACCCAUGUGCACCGUGACUGUUUUGUCCUUGGGGUGGUGUCUAUGAUAUGAGUAGAUUUCUGCCCCACUCGUUUAAUUAAAUUACUUUUUGAAUUAUCAUGGCAUGUCUAUUGUUUUUAAUAAUUAUAACAAUGACAACUUUUAACGGUGGAUCUCUUGGCUCGUG